UACGUAGGCAGCGAGCGUUGUUCGGAUUUACUGGGCGUAAAGGGCGCGUAGGCGGCCACCGCAAGUCGGUUGUGAAAUCUCUGGGCUUAACCCAGAAAGGUCAACCGAUACUGCGGGGCUAGAGUGCAGAAGGGGCAACUGGAAUUCUCGGUGUAGCGGUGAAAUGCGUAGAUAUCGAGAGGAACACCUGCGGCGAAGGCGGGUUGCUGGGCUGACACUGACGCUGAACUGCGAAAGCUAGGGGAGCGAACGGG
RNAcentral lists this ribosomal RNA (254 nucleotides) under uncultured bacterium. RNAcentral's name for it is "partial 16S ribosomal RNA". It matches the Rfam family "Bacterial small subunit ribosomal RNA", at positions 524 to 776 of the family's 1533-position model. The record is from RNAcentral.